Molecule: ribosomal RNA, 399 nt
Filed under: Triticum aestivum (bread wheat)
Lineage: Eukaryota; Viridiplantae; Streptophyta; Magnoliopsida; Poales; Poaceae
Description: partial small subunit ribosomal RNA
Source: RNAcentral
AUGGCGACAUGGAGUCCGCAGCGGUGCAGGGCAAUAAGCCGUGGCGGCGAGUCGGGCGUGACCGGUGCGUGUUAUGGGUGUGUACUGGACGCGUCGGGCGCGUCGGGACCGCGGGAGUGGACCACGUCGAGGCACUGGACCUGGUUGCGCAGAUCGCGUACGUGCGCGACGGGAGCGCGGGCCGGGAGCGCGGGGACGUGGGGAGUGCGCGCGAAGGGCACAGCGGUCGCGGAGACGAGGAGGUCACGAAGGACCUGCGUGGUGGCGCAGAGGUCGCGGCGGCUCGGCGUGACAACCGUGGAGGCUCGUGGCACGGAGCCGCGGAGCUCGUGUCGGAUGCGUCAGGCGCGUGUAUGGGCGCGCGCCGGGCAUGUCAGGCGCGGCGGGACCGUGGUGUAG